GGCCUUGCGCUCUUUGAGCGGCCGAUGUCAGAUUAGCUAGUUGGUGAGGUAAAGGCUUACCAAGGCGACGAUCUGUAGCGGGUCUGAGAGGAUGAUCCGCCACACUGGAACUGAGACACGGUCCAGACUCCUACGGGAGGCAGCAGUGGGGAAUUUUGGACAAUGGGGGCAACCCUGAUCCAGCCAUGCCGCGUGAGUGAAGAAGGCCUUCGGGUUGUAAAGCUCUUUCGGCCGGGAAGAAAUCGCAUGGGCCAAUACCCUGUGUGGAUGACGGUACCGGAAUAAGAAGCACUGGCUAACUACGUGCCAGCAGCCGCGGUAAUACGUAGGGUGCGAGCGUUAAUCGGAAUUACUGGGCGUAAAGCGUGCGCAGGCGGUUUUGUAAGACAGGCGUGAAAUCCCCGGGCUUAACCUGGGAACUGCGUUUGUGACUGCAAGGCUAGAGUACGGCAGAGGGGGGUGGAAUUCCACGUGUAGCAGUGAAAUGCGUAGAGAUGUGGAGGAACACCAAUGGCGAAGGCAGCCCCCUGGGUCGAUACUGACGCUCAUGCACGAAAGCGUGGGUAGCAAACAGGAUUAGAUACCCUGGUAGUCCACGCCCUAAACUAUGUCAGCUAGGUGUUGGGUGGGUAAAACCAUUUAGUACCGUAGCUAACGCGUGAAGUUGACCGCCUGGGGAGUACGGCCGCAAGGUUAAAACUCAAAGGAAUUGACGGGGACCCGCACAAGCGGUGGAUGAUGCGGAUUAAUUCGAUGCAACGCGAAAAACCUUACCUACCCUUGACAUGCCAGGAACUUGCCAGAGACGGCUUGGUGCCCGAAAGGGAGCCUGGACACAGGUGCUGCAUGGCUGUCGUCAGCUCGUGUCGUGAGAUGUUGGGUUAAGUCCCGCAACGAGCGCAACCCUUGUCGUUAAUUGCCAUCAUUUAGUUGGGCACUUUAACGAGACUGCCGGUGACAAACCGGAGGAAGGUGGGGAUGACGUCAAGUCCUCAUGGCCCUUAUGGGUAGGGCUUCACACGUCAUACAAUGGUCGGUACAAAGGGUUGCCAAGCCGCGAGGCGGAGCCAAUCCCAGAAAGCCGAUCGUAGUCCGGAUUGCAGGCUGCAACUCGCCUGCAUGAAGUCGGAAUCGCUAGUAAUCGUGGAUCAGCAUGUCACGGUGAAUACGUUCCCGGGUCUUGUACACACCGCCCGUCACACCAUGGGAGCGGGUUCCGCCAGAAGUAGGUAGCCUAACCGCAAGGGGGGCGCUUACCACGGCGGGGUUCGUGAC
Molecule: ribosomal RNA, 1275 nt
Filed under: metagenome
Description: bacterial SSU rRNA
Rfam family: Bacterial small subunit ribosomal RNA
Source: RNAcentral